This 488-nucleotide ribosomal RNA is filed under the name uncultured bacterium. RNAcentral's name for it is "bacterial SSU rRNA". It matches the Rfam family "Bacterial small subunit ribosomal RNA", at positions 28 to 507 of the family's 1533-position model. The record is from RNAcentral.
GAUGAACGCUGGCUACAGGCUUAACACAUGCAAGUCGAGGGGCAGCGGGGAUCUAGCUUGCUAGAUCUGCCGGCGACCGGCGCACGGGUGAGUAACACGUAUCCAACCUGGCCCAUACUCGGGUAUAGCCUCUCGAAAGGGAGAUUAAUCCCCGAUGUUGUUGUUUCACCGCAUGGUGUACCAACCAAAGAAUUUUGGUAUGGGAUGGGGAUGCGUUCCAUUAGCUUGUUGGCGGGGUAACGGCCCACCAAGGCGACGAUGGAUAGGGGUUCUGAGAGGAAGGUCCCCCACACUGGAACUGAGACACGGUCCAGACUCCUACGGGAGGCAGCAGUGAGGAAUAUUGGUCAAUGGUCUGACGACUGAACCAGCCAUGCCGCGUGAAGGUGACGGCCCUAUGGGUCUUAAACUUCUUUUGUAAGGGAGCAAUAAGGUCUACGUGUAGAUUGAUGAGAGUACCUUACGAAUAAGCAUCGGCUAACUCCGUG